This 615-nucleotide ribosomal RNA is filed under the name Salmonella enterica subsp. enterica. RNAcentral describes it as "partial 23S ribosomal RNA". It matches the Rfam family "Bacterial large subunit ribosomal RNA", at positions 2327 to 2925 of the family's 2925-position model. The record is from RNAcentral. Lineage: Bacteria; Pseudomonadati; Pseudomonadota; Gammaproteobacteria; Enterobacterales; Enterobacteriaceae.
CUGGUCGGACAUCAGGAGGUUAGUGCAAUGGCAUAAGCCAGCUUGACUGCGAGCGUGACGGCGCGAGCAGGUGCGAAAGCAGGUCAUAGUGAUCCGGUGGUUCUGAAUGGAAGGGCCAUCGCUCAACGGAUAAAAGGUACUCCGGGGAUAACAGGCUGAUACCGCCCAAGAGUUCAUAUCGACGGCGGUGUUUGGCACCUCGAUGUCGGCUCAUCACAUCCUGGGGCUGAAGUAGGUCCCAAGGGUAUGGCUGUUCGCCAUUUAAAGUGGUACGCGAGCUGGGUUUAGAACGUCGUGAGACAGUUCGGUCCCUAUCUGCCGUGGGCGCUGGAGAACUGAGGGGGGCUGCUCCUAGUACGAGAGGACCGGAGUGGACGCAUCACUGGUGUUCGGGUUGUCAUGCCAAUGGCACUGCCCGGUAGCUAAAUGCGGAAGAGAUAAGUGCUGAAAGCAUCUAAGCACGAAACUUGCCCCGAGAUGAGUUCUCCCUGAGACUUUAGGUCUCCUGAAGGAACGUUGAAGACGACGACGUUGAUAGGCCGGGUGUGUAAGCGCAGCGAUGCGUUGAGCUAACCGGUACUAAUGAACCGUGAGGCUUAACCUUACAACGCCGAA